UUUAUAUAGCGGACAAACAUACAAUUGUCUUUCUAUGAUAUCUUGCUUCUUUAUUGGUAUCAGCCACAGCUGGAAUUGUAGUGAAAAGAUUUGAUCUCACCAUCAUAGCCACUGGUCGAAAUAAAGCUUUCAAAUUGUCUGGCAAUUCCGUUCUGCCAGCGUAUCCCGGAUUCAUUGUGGUGAAUAUCGCGCAGGUCCUUCCGGAGCGCCGCCGAGAUGCUGGUUGAGGGCACCGAACA
RNAcentral lists this long non-coding RNA (239 nucleotides) under Acromyrmex echinatior (Panamanian leafcutter ant). RNAcentral describes it as "uncharacterized LOC105149138, transcript variant X2". The record is from RNAcentral. Lineage: Eukaryota; Metazoa; Arthropoda; Insecta; Hymenoptera; Formicidae.